UUGAAGAGUUUGAUCAUGGCUCAGAUUGAACGCUGGCGGCAGGCCUAACACAUGCAAGUCGAGCGGUAGCACAGAGAGCUUGCUCUCGGGUGACGAGCGGCGGACGGGUGAGUAAUGUCUGGGAAACUGCCUGAUGGAGGGGGAUAACUACUGGAAACGGUAGCUAAUACCGCAUAAUGUCGCAAGACCAAAGUGGGGGACCUUCGGGCCUCAUGCCAUCAGAUGUGCCCAGAUGGGAUUAGCUAGUAGGUGGGGUAACGGCUCACCUAGGCGACGAUCCCUAGCUGGUCUGAGAGGAUGACCAGCCACACUGGAACUGAGACACGGUCCAGACUCCUACGGGAGGCAGCAGUGGGGAAUAUUGCACAAUGGGCGCAAGCCUGAUGCAGCCAUGCCGCGUGUGUGAAGAAGGCCUUCGGGUUGUAAAGCACUUUCAGCGGGGAGGAAGGCGAUAAGGUUAAUAACCUCAUCGAUUGACGUUACCCGCAGAAGAAGCACCGGCUAACUCCGUGCCAGCAGCCGCGGUAAUACGGAGGGUGCAAGCGUUAAUCGGAAUUACUGGGCGUAAAGCGCACGCAGGCGGUCUGUCAAGUCGGAUGUGAAAUCCCCGGGCUCAACCUGGGAACUGCAUUCGAAACUGGCAGGCUAGAGUCUUGUAGAGGGGGGUAGAAUUCCAGGUGUAGCGGUGAAAUGCGUAGAGAUCUGGAGGAAUACCGGUGGCGAAGGCGGCCCCCUGGACAAAGACUGACGCUCAGGUGCGAAAGCGUGGGGAGCAAACAGGAUUAGAUACCCUGGUAGUCCACGCCGUAAACGAUGUCGAUUUGGAGGUUGUGCCCUUGAGGCGUGGCUUCCGGAGCUAACGCGUUAAAUCGACCGCCUGGGGAGUACGGCCGCAAGGUUAAAACUCAAAUGAAUUGACGGGGGCCCGCACAAGCGGUGGAGCAUGUGGUUUAAUUCGAUGCAACGCGAAGAACCUUACCUGGUCUUGACAUCCACAGAACUUUCCAGAGAUGGAUUGGUGCCUUCGGGAACUGUGAGACAGGUGCUGCAUGGCUGUCGUCAGCUCGUGUUGUGAAAUGUUGGGUUAAGUCCCGCAACGAGCGCAACCCUUAUCCUUUGUUGCCAGCGGUCCGGCCGGGAACUCAAAGGAGACUGCCAGUGAUAAACUGGAGGAAGGUGGGGAUGACGUCAAGUCAUCAUGGCCCUUACGACCAGGGCUACACACGUGCUACAAUGGCAUAUACAAAGAGAAGCGACCUCGCGAGAGCAAGCGGACCUCAUAAAGUAUGUCGUAGUCCGGAUUGGAGUCUGCAACUCGACUCCAUGAAGUCGGAAUCGCUAGUAAUCGAUCAGAAUGCUACGGUGAAUACGUUCCCGGGCCUUGUACACACCGCCCGUCACACCAUGGGAGUGGGUUGCAAAAGAAGUAGGUAGCUUAACCUUCGGGAGGGCGCUUACCACUUUGUGAUUCAUGACUGGGGUGAAGUCGUAACAAGGUAACCGUAGGGGAACCUGCGGUUGGAUCACCUCCUU
This 1533-nucleotide ribosomal RNA is filed under the name Klebsiella pneumoniae. RNAcentral's name for it is "bacterial SSU rRNA". It matches the Rfam family "Bacterial small subunit ribosomal RNA". Lineage: Bacteria; Pseudomonadati; Pseudomonadota; Gammaproteobacteria; Enterobacterales; Enterobacteriaceae. The record is from RNAcentral.